GAUGAAGAACGUAGCGAAAUGCGAUACUUGGUGUGAAUUGCAGAAUCCCGUGAACCAUCGAGUUUUUGAACGCAAGUUGCGCCCGAAGCCGUUAGGCUGAGGGCACGCCUGCCUGGGUGUCACACAUCGUUGCCCCAAUGCCAAUCGCCUCACUUUGUAGGUAUUUGCUUAGGGUGAAUGUUGGCCUCCCGUGAGCUUUGUCUCACGGUUUGUUGAAAACCGAGUGCAUGGUGUCGGGUGUACCAUGAUGGAUGGUGGUUGAGUGAUGCUCGAGACCAAUCAUGGGUAACUCCACCAGAAUUGGGCUCGGUGACCCACAUGCGUCCCUUGGAUGCUCCCUAAGGAGACCUCAGGUCAGGCGGGGCUACCCGCUGAGUUUAAGCAUAUCAAUAAGCGGAGGA
Molecule: unclassified non-coding RNA, 401 nt
Filed under: soil metagenome
Description: partial contains 5.8S ribosomal RNA, internal transcribed spacer 2, and large subunit ribosomal RNA
Rfam family: 5.8S ribosomal RNA (bases 1-122)
Source: RNAcentral